CUGGCACAUAUUUUACCAUAUCAUCUGAAAAACUCCUCAUGACGCCAUAGCACCCAUUGAAAUAGAGUGUUUGGAAAAAAAACGAAAUCUUUUGGUCCAGUGUAGAGGGCGUAGUCAGAAGAAAACGGCAACCAAUAGAAGUAAUACUCAUCAUCACUUCUAUUGGUUUCUGACACGUCCAUCAACCGCCAGCACUCACCCCUCCUCCCUGCGCGUUCACCGACUCGUGAACUUGACCGACCCCGCCCCCAUCAUUCAUGCACACGCGACAAGGCUCAUCAUCACUCGGCUAGUAGCAAGGUAACGAGAGUUAGCAGCAUGCUGAGCUACUUGGAAACUUUGGUGGCUUUUGCAGAGCUACAGGAAGAACUUUGGCUUUUGGAACACUAGACUAACCAUGUCAGGUUAACAUACUUGGAUUAUCAUCGGACUCGCAAGACCAGACUCCAACACGGGCUGAAAAUUUGAAAUGGGACCUGACACUCUUGGACACAGAUGUCGGCUACGGCAGCGGCUUCAAAUACGCUUUGGUGACCAUAUUUCUAAUCGAGAGUUGUGCGAACGAGCCAGACAAACCAGCUGGGAGGAGGACGGAAGCACCCCUUCUCCAUCCGCGUUCAGUUGCUAAAUACGGAUCCACCCCGUAGUGUGGUGUUUUCCAUAGCUGUUCCUUGCUCCUGUUUCACAACAUAUCAAGGCUGCCAAGUAAAUGAAGAAUGAAUCACCGCACACUGGUCAACAGCCGACAGGGUCCUUCCACAACCACAUACUUAUGCCAGUAAAAGCCACAGCUUUUCUCCUCCAAUCCAAGAAGCCUGGACUGCAGUCACCAUCUCAACACACCAACCAAGAGAAAGGCGGAUGGCUCAAUUCAAUAUGGAAAAUUGCACAAUAAAAGUUCCAGGACAUGAAGGCUGCAUACUGUGAACGUCAACCUUCAGGGCACCGUCCUGCGCAGAAGACUUUCUACCCUAAGAGGGAUGGCUGACCGCAGACACUCACAACCAGCACAGACGCCUCCAACCUCAAACUAGGCCCUUCACAGUUGCUGCACUUACCCACCUUCCCAGAGUUUUUGUGUGGUAAUGACAACUGUAAAUAUAGUAUAAAGUAAUGUAUCUAGUGUCAUGUGUAAUACAUUGUUUAAAUUGUCCAUACAUUUCAAUGACAGUAAAUAUUGGUGGACACAAUUUGACUGUGUGGCUUUUUUUUUAUUCAUUCUCUGACUGAAAAUGCAUGGUUACAUAAUUUAUAUAUUCCACAAGACCACAAUCAGAAGAACAUUUGACAGGUUGCAUUUAUUUUCUAUGUAUGAAAAAAACAAUGGUAACAAGACAAACGUGGUUCCAAACCAAAAAGGUGAGAUGUACAGAUGAAUGAUCCUACAGAUAAUGAAAAAUAAUAAAAGUCUGCACACUGCCGGUUUGUGUGUUUUAUACCGUACUCUGUAUAAACCUUUUAUAUUGCUCUAGUGGAGCAGGGUAACCCUGGCUAAUCCUGGGUAUUGUACUGUGUAUUACAACGUCAGCCCUGUUCAAGUGCCCCAUACUGUCUGUAGGCUGCAUGCCUGAAGAGACCGUUUCUCUCACCUGGUCCUACAUCAGCCCAAAGUCUUAUCAAAACUGAGAACACCACAGCAUUUCCUUUCAAUGUUCAUGGGCAUCUCCUUACAGAUUGCGCAGAGGCGCCAGGUUGGUUGUGCUACUGGGCUGUGACUGAGGACCAGAUGUCAUGUGCCAGGUCCAACAUCAAACUGGGGUCACGGGUCAGGGC
Molecule: long non-coding RNA, 1773 nt
Organism: Engraulis encrasicolus (European anchovy)
Lineage: Eukaryota; Metazoa; Chordata; Actinopteri; Clupeiformes; Engraulidae
Exons: 6
Source: RefSeq, a predicted model, not a curated record